RNAcentral lists this transfer-messenger RNA (363 nucleotides) under Salmonella enterica. It matches the Rfam family "transfer-messenger RNA". From Rfam's summary of the family: Bacterial tmRNA, also known as 10Sa RNA or SsrA, is named for its dual tRNA and mRNA-like properties. Its role is to liberate the mRNA from a stalled ribosome. The record is from RNAcentral. Lineage: Bacteria; Pseudomonadati; Pseudomonadota; Gammaproteobacteria; Enterobacterales; Enterobacteriaceae.
GGGGCUGAUUCUGGAUUCGACGGGAUUUUCGAAACCCAAGGUGCAUGCCGAGGGGCGGUUGGCCUCGUAAAAAGCCGCAAAAAAAUAGUCGCAAACGACGAAACCUACGCUUUAGCAGCUUAAUAACCUGCUUAGAGCCCUCUCUCCCUAGCCUCCGCUCUUAGGACGGGGAUCAAGAGAGGUCAAACCCAAAAGAGAUCGCGCGGAUGCCCUGCCUGGGGUUGAAGCGUUAAAACGAAUCAGGCUAGUCUGGUAGUGGCGUGUCCGUCCGCAGGUGCCAGGCGAAUGUAAAGACUGACUAAGCAUGUAGUACCGAGGAUGUAGGAAUUUCGGACGCGGGUUCAACUCCCGCCAGCUCCACCA